RNAcentral lists this ribosomal RNA (497 nucleotides) under uncultured bacterium. RNAcentral's name for it is "partial 16S ribosomal RNA". It matches the Rfam family "Bacterial small subunit ribosomal RNA", at positions 28 to 507 of the family's 1533-position model. The record is from RNAcentral.
GAUGAACGCUGGCGGCGUGCCUAAUACAUGCAAGUCGAGCGAACAGACGAGGAGCUUGCUCCUCUGACGUUAGCGGCGGACGGGUGAGUAACACGUGGAUAACCUACCUAUAAGACUGGGAUAACUUCGGGAAACCGGAGCUAAUACCGGAUAAUAUAUUGAACCGUAUGGUUCAAUAGUGAAAGACGGUUUUGCUGUCACUUAUAGCUGGAUCCGCGCCGCAUUAGCUAGUUGGUAAGGUAACGGCUUACCAAGGCGACGAUGCGUAGCCGACCUGAGAGGGUGAUCGGCCACCCUGGAACUGAGACACGGUCCAGACUCCUACGGGAGGCAGCAGUAGGGAAUCUUCCGCAAUGGGCGAAAGCCUGACGGAGCAACGCCGCGUGAGUGAUGAAGGUCUUCGGAUCGUAAAACUCUGUUAUUAGGGAAGAACAAAUGUGUAAGUAACUAUGCACGUCUUGACGGUACCUAAUCAGAAAGCCACGGCUAACUACGUG